AUUUUUAUGUACACAUAAUCUGGCUGGACUGUCAUUCGCUGGAUGGUUAUACUUUCAUUUGUAUACCUGUACAUUUAUUUGUGUAUGUAUAUGCAGCAUUGCAGAACUGGAAUUGUCAUCUGUGAACCAAGCAAACCCAAAAGGAUUACUGCCCUGGGCUGCUCAACAGGGGAACUUCAUGCUGUGACAAAAGUGCUGCUAAGGUUUCCUAAUGCACUGAAAGGCUGUGAAGUUUACAUGUCUCGGAAACCUUGCAAUUAUUGUGCAAAAUUGCUGGUUCAAGCACAAGUCUCACAUGUGUAUUACUGGCCAAAUUUGGAAAUCGAAACGGCAAACUCAAAGCAUAAUCUGGUAAAACAUGCUAAUGCCAUCUUUACAGAAAGCAGUGUUGUUGCAGCGGUAUAUGUACCAACUAUAGCCAACCAAAGAAAGAUGGAAAUACUUAAUUCAAAUGAAAAAGUAUCUUCUAAUGAUGAUUUAGUUCCAGUUUCAUCUGUAUUUGAUAAGAAACCUAGUGGGGAUAUUUUAAAAGAAUUUAACUUGGAACACCUGAAGGAUGACCGCCUGAAAAAAUACAAAAAAAAUCUUACUACAGCGAAGAACUGUUAUAAAUCUCUUGCAAGUUGCAAAGAUGAAAAAAUAAAAGUCUUAGAAGAGAAGGAAUCCACUGUAACGAAUAAUCCUAAGUACACCCAUGCAUUACAGCUCUGUGAUUUGUUAGCUUCCAGAAGUGGUAAGUAAAUUACUAUUACUAAAUUUAGUUCCUUAAUUUACUCAGUUUGGAAAAAUUCUACACAAUUGUUAGUCAUAUUCCUGGAGAUGUAAUAUACUGAGCAACACCCCCCCCCCAUCUUUAAUUGAUUACACUGCAUUCUGUUAAGUAAUUAAUGAAACAUUAGAAUUAAUGAAACUCUGGACCAGCAGACAUGAGUAAGAAUGUCAUACUCUUUGACCAGCAGGUUUGUUGUCAUAUCAUAGUGUUGUGUAAAUUUAUAAUUGUGAUAAUUUGACUGUUUAUUCUCAGACAAUAAUAAUGGAGUGGGGACGGUGAUUUUCAAGGAAGACAACAUUGUAAGUAAAAGUUUAUGUGGUUUAGGAAAUUGUGCUUUUCUUCUAAAAAUGUCUGAACUGUUCAUAGGAAAAUGUAUUUCUGGAAACAAAGGCAAUUUUUCCUUUGGGAGAAAAAAGAAUUCAUGAUUUUCUGAAACUUCACAUUUCAUACAAAUAUAUGAUCGAGAUCUAUAAUCAACCACUUUGAAAUGGAGAUCUCCAUAAACAUUACCAAACAGCAUCGCCUUAGAAUUCUCCCUGAAGUUAUUAACAAGUUGAGAUCUAUAAUUAAUCACUUUGAAACGGAGAUCUGCAUAAACAUUACCAAAUAUCACAUUAGAACUCUCCCUGAAGUUGUUAACAACUCUUAGGAGUUGGAAUGGGCUGUAAAUAACUAAAGGUCUCAGAACAACAUUACCUUUUAUUUCUUUGUAUGUUGUUUCUUUCUAGGUAGCUGUGGGCUACAGUGGAUACCCAAAAGGGGCAAUGAAUAGUUUAUUUUGCAAGAAGGCGGAUGUGGAUUUUUACCAGCAUGCGACUGUGUGUGCAGAAGCUAAUGCAAUUAUUAUGAGUUCUGAGAGAGACCUGUGUAAUGCUGAACUCAUCACUACACGUGAACCCUGCCUUGACUGUCUGAAACUGAUCCGAGCAAAGAAUAUAGCAAAGGUCAUUUGGCCUCUCCGAGACAGAAAUGUAGGUGAUAUUAGGGAUGGUUAAAAUCCAUGUGCCAUGGUUCCUUUGUCCCCUCCCUGAGGACAUCUUCCUAAAAACCCUGUACUUUCCCUUUGCUGGGGAGGAAUUGCACACUCUUUACCCUUUCAGGAUAGGCUCUCUUCUGCAUUGCCAGCUUUUUUGCACCAUUGGAGGUGGGGUGAGUGCCAGUGGGUGAGUGUCAGGAGAAGAACACUUAUCAGGGGGAUAUAGAUAGUAGAGGUAGCUGCUCCCACUCUGAAGGGGAAGAAGAUGGGGAUGAAAAGUCAUAUACACAGUCUGUCCUUCAUCUCUUUCAGCAAGUGGGGAAGGUCGGCACAUAGCCUU
Neopsephotus bourkii (Bourke's parrot) is the source of this 2088-nucleotide RNA transcript. RefSeq lists it as uncharacterized. Lineage: Eukaryota; Metazoa; Chordata; Aves; Psittaciformes; Psittacidae. The transcript has 3 exons. The record is from RefSeq and is a predicted model, not a curated record.